AUCAAGAGAAACACUAAGACAAAGUACAUAAGCUUCGCUUAAACAACAAAAACAGUAGCUGAUUCCAAAUCUAGCAGGAAAGCCGGCACCAAAAAAUCAAAAGUACAAGCCAAAAAUAAAACACAUAACAUCAAUCUUUAAAGCAACACACCAGGAACCCAUAAACAAGAUAUAUAGGAUGCACUACUGUCGACAAAGAAAAUUGUUCAAUUCUUUAAUUGAUUUUGU
RNAcentral lists this long non-coding RNA (228 nucleotides) under Trifolium pratense (red clover). Its description in RNAcentral is "long non-coding RNA (TPRA_LNC003920)". The record is from RNAcentral. Lineage: Eukaryota; Viridiplantae; Streptophyta; Magnoliopsida; Fabales; Fabaceae.